RNAcentral lists this RNase P RNA (489 nucleotides) under Malassezia sympodialis ATCC 42132. RNAcentral describes it as "Nuclear RNase P". It matches the Rfam family "Nuclear RNase P". Rfam says of the family: Ribonuclease P (RNase P) is a ubiquitous endoribonuclease, found in archaea, bacteria and eukarya as well as chloroplasts and mitochondria. The record is from Rfam by way of RNAcentral. Lineage: Eukaryota; Fungi; Basidiomycota; Malasseziomycetes; Malasseziales; Malasseziaceae.
UCAGCUUGAAGGCCACAGGUACUCGCCACCUUGUUGCUUUGCAACCCUGCGAGUGGGAAGGUCCGCGUGCGCCUCUUUGUCUUACCUUUUGUGUGGGAACGGUAAUGCUGUCUGUCACGCUUGCAGAAUGUCUUUCUACUACGUUAAUGACGAAUUGUGCAUGCUUUUGUGUCUCUAACAGCUCUUGCUGGGCGAGUGGCAUAAUGCCCUGAGGUUGGCCUGCACCAGAAACGACUCUUGCGCAGUAGCUUCAAAUGGUGCUUUCCCCGGGAUUCUCCCGCUCGGAGACACAUUUGACGUAGCAGGCGGAGAUUGGAAUCAGGUCUACUCAAAUGGAGAACAUGGGCAUGUGCAGUGCGGUAGAUGGACUGGUUCUCUGCUUCAUGACUGACAGUGUGGCUGUUGACGAAGAGGCCGCUUUUUUAAGCUUGAGUGCAAUCUGUGGCGCCUCUUUAGAGCAAACUCGACGCGAGACUACUCUCAAGCUGG